AUUAAUUAGUGAAAUUGAAUGAAUCCUCUUUCGGAUUCUACAAAACAUAAAGUCGCAUGGAAAACCAAACAACUAUUGAUUUUUAAAGAAUAACAAAUAAUUAUCGGGGAUGCACUGGAGGAGGGCAGGAAGGUGGAAGAUGACGAGGACCACAGCAGAUACUGCGCAGAAAAGAUAAUGGAAAGAGACGCCGUGUGACAUCAACUCAAGAAAUUGUUCCUUCGAAGCGACCACCGCUUCAUCGCGAACCGGUUCUUAAUCGCGCUAGAUGAUACGGAUCAUUA
RNAcentral lists this long non-coding RNA (284 nucleotides) under Musa acuminata (dwarf banana). RNAcentral describes it as "long non-coding RNA (MACU_LNC006040)". The record is from RNAcentral. Lineage: Eukaryota; Viridiplantae; Streptophyta; Magnoliopsida; Zingiberales; Musaceae.